RNAcentral lists this long non-coding RNA (759 nucleotides) under Cyanistes caeruleus (blue tit). RNAcentral's name for it is "lncRNA (ENSCCEG00000012287.1)". The record is from RNAcentral. Lineage: Eukaryota; Metazoa; Chordata; Aves; Passeriformes; Paridae.
UCUUGCUCUUAUGGUCCUAAACUGCCCUCCUGCAUGCUGGCCCAAGUGACAGGCAGUCUGGUGUUCAGAUAGUGAUCUUGAGUACUUCUUGUGGCAUUCCAAGCCUGUCAUUUAAAUCAAGAUAUGGAACUUGGCUUCAUGUAUUUGGAACAUUCUCCAUUUUCGAAGAAUCGAGGAGUUGCUCAGUCAAAUUGGAAGACGGUGAGUGGAGGAGAAACAUCUGGGUCAUUUGACACAUGCAAAAGCUCACAUAGCAGUGGGAGUAAGUGGAAGAAGACCAAGGACAGAGAUCAUCAAACUUGCACAGUCCAAGAGCAAGGCAAAUAAAAUACACUGUGUCAGUGAGUCACAAAUCAGUGGCUUGGUUAGAUUUUCUUUCUUCAGUUCCCUCCACACCAUAAUAUGAACUACAAUAUUCCCUGUUUCCAGACUCCUAUCCCAGUACCCCGUCUCCUCUCUUCCGCAUCCCAUACCAAAUGCGCAGCUUAGCAGAAGCUGAGAGCAGCUGUCUUGCAGAAAGCCAAGCUGAUCAACACCAUCUUGCAGUUGGGGAGGCAGCAGCCUCAUCCUUCAGCUGAAUUCAGAGUCCCUUUUUCUUGUUUUGUUGUUGUGUUCUCAUUAUGUGUGCUUAUAUUUGAAGAUCUGUAUUUUCUAGGGAAAAAACGGAGUGUGCACAGUCCGGGAGGCACGUAGAGGGGAUAUUGGGUGAUAAUUGCUGUGAGUGCUUUACAGUGAGAUAUGUGUAUCAUUGUGUUUUAG